This 497-nucleotide ribosomal RNA is filed under the name uncultured bacterium. RNAcentral's name for it is "partial 16S ribosomal RNA". It matches the Rfam family "Bacterial small subunit ribosomal RNA", at positions 28 to 507 of the family's 1533-position model. The record is from RNAcentral.
GAUGAACGCUGGCGGCGUGCCUAAUACAUGCAAGUCGAGCGAACAGACGAGUAGCUUGCUCCUCUGACGUUAGCGGCGGACGGGUGAGUAACACGUGGAUAACCUACCUAUAAGACUGGGAUAACUUCGGGAAACCGGCGCUAAUACCGGAUAAUAUAUUGAACCGCAUUGUUCAAUAGUGAAAGACGGUUUUGCUGUCACUUAUAGAUGGAUCCGCGCCGCAUUAGCUAGUUGUUAAGGUAACGGCUUACCAAGGCAACGAUGCGUAGCCGACCUGAGAGGGUGAUCGGCCACACUGGAACUGAGACACGGUCCAGACUCCUACGGGAGGCAGCAGUAGGGAAUCUUCCGCAAUGGGCGAAAGCUUGACGGAGCAACGCCGCGUGAGUGAUGAAGGUCUUCGGAUCGUAAAACUCUGUUAUUAGGGAAGAACAAAUGUGUAAGUAACUAUGCACGUCUUGACGGUACCUAAUCAGAAAGCCACGGCUAACUACGUG